AGCAGCCACAUCAGGUUGAAAAAUUGGUUUCCAUACAAUCAUCAAAGUUAAGCAACAUCGAGCCUGGUCAGUACCUCAAUGGGUAACCACCUGGGAAUACCAGGUGUUGUU
Acanthosepion pharaonis is the source of this 111-nucleotide non-coding RNA. Lineage: Eukaryota; Metazoa; Mollusca; Cephalopoda; Sepiida; Sepiidae. The record is from the annotation of a GenBank genome assembly.